CCAGCAGUCCAAUUCUAGUCCUUCCUCAUCCGCAGAGCAGCUUGAGUCUAAUCAUGAUGCUCUAACUGAUUAUCCAAAUAAGAAGGUUAUUAUAGAUAAGUUGUAGGUUCAGGAUAAUUUAAUUGAAAUACUAUAUUGUUAUGACGAUUAAGAUUUAAAUAUUAACUUUUGUAUGAUUUUAUUUUAUUUCAUGCAUACUUAAUAUAUAGUUCUAAAUAUGCUUUUUUCAUUUUAUG
This 236-nucleotide long non-coding RNA is filed under the name Elaeis guineensis (African oil palm). RNAcentral's name for it is "long non-coding RNA (EGUI_LNC024584)". Lineage: Eukaryota; Viridiplantae; Streptophyta; Magnoliopsida; Arecales; Arecaceae. The record is from RNAcentral.